This is a long non-coding RNA of Mauremys reevesii (Reeves's turtle), 470 nucleotides long. RefSeq lists it as uncharacterized. The record is from RefSeq and is a predicted model, not a curated record. The transcript is spliced from 4 exons. Lineage: Eukaryota; Metazoa; Chordata; Testudines; Geoemydidae.
CAGCAUGUGACCAAGCUGCUGCUGAGAUCUUGCCUGUAAAUUCUAUCAAAUGUGAAGUCAGGUGCUAAGAGCUUCAAGGAAAUAGAAUGGCUCCAUUGAACUCACUUGGGAUAUUCAUGGGAGUGAAGUUAGGUGCAUAAAGCCCCAACUCUGCAUGUGACCACCUACCCUGUAUAUACACAGUGAGGCUGAAGUAUUGGGGGACAACGUCUGGCAAGGACUUGCAAAUGACAAAACGAUAUUCUGCAUCAAGUUUCAGUGGGGUUUAAUGCUGUUAGAGCAUACCAGCAAGGGAAGCAGCUGGAAUGCCAACUACUCUACUGUCACAUUUUCCUCCUGUAACACGCUUCAGCUCAGGAAACUGAUUCCUGGAGCUCAGAUACUGAUAAUGAAACAUGAGAGACUUGUCAAGUUCUUUACAGCCAUCUUUACCUGAAGUGGGCUCCAUGAAGUUCUUUCCAUUUAAGAUA